GACAGCUUGGCCGAGAAGUCAAAGGAUGCGCGUUAGACUCGAAAUCUAAUGGGGAAACCCUCGUGAGUUCAAAUCUCACAGCUGUCG
Aphanomyces cochlioides is the source of this 87-nucleotide non-coding RNA. NCBI's taxonomy places the organism in Eukaryota, Oomycota, Saprolegniomycetes, Saprolegniales, Verrucalvaceae. The record is from the annotation of a GenBank genome assembly.